AUGCACAGCGGUCACUCCAGUGGACAGUUAUUCUACAGCUGUUCUUUUGUGUAUUCAUGGGUUUUGUUGUUUUAGUUGCAUAUCAGCCAAUAAAGUGGACGUUCAUGCAUCAUUUCAUACACUGCAACUCAUCCCAUUACUGUAACUUUGCUGUUCUUGAUAAACCUGAUCUGCAGCAACAUGUUUGACUUUAAAAAAUUGCCAAUUGUUAUUAGACUCUAAUUAACAGUUUU
This is a long non-coding RNA of Sphaeramia orbicularis (orbiculate cardinalfish), 233 nucleotides long. RefSeq lists it as uncharacterized. Lineage: Eukaryota; Metazoa; Chordata; Actinopteri; Kurtiformes; Apogonidae. The transcript is spliced from 3 exons. The record is from RefSeq and is a predicted model, not a curated record.